This is a long non-coding RNA of Photinus pyralis (common eastern firefly), 494 nucleotides long. RefSeq lists it as uncharacterized. The transcript is spliced from 2 exons. NCBI's taxonomy places the organism in Eukaryota, Metazoa, Arthropoda, Insecta, Coleoptera, Lampyridae. The record is from RefSeq and is a predicted model, not a curated record.
AUCAGAAACCGUCGAGAGAGGUGUCCACAGAGGCGCUGUAAUUUUUCUAGUUGUUUGCAAGUUGUCCCAGAUUUUUAAGAUAACCACAGGAGCCGCAAUUAAUUAAAAACCGAAUUAUUUUCUACACCGCUCCGUGCGAGUGCAGCGAGGCUUUGGGGUUCCAUGUUCUACUUCUACCAAAAUGGGUUUCCUUUAAAAGGAAAACGCUCAGUUUGGGAAGUAUCUUUCUGCUUCAUACUUUCGAGUUAUAAUCCGGAAGUGACCGCUGCCAUUUUGUGGUGAACUUUGACCGAUCCCUGGUAUAUUCCGUUCUCCACUAGAGGAUACCCGGAGGCUUUCCACCCCGUCCGAGAGAAGACCGCCCCUUUUCCCAAGACUUCGAGGGUGCAGAGUUAAGUCUUGGUGGCGCCCGAGAGACCGAUCGACCGUCUACUGUGUGAUAAUUGAAUUGUACAAUUAUAUUAUUGUUCGACAAUUAAAGGAACUUGAAAUAA